UUUUACCGUUAACAGAAUUCUCUCCCCAAAUCUGAUACUCUGAGUAACCGACUCCCCAUAUUUCAGGGAGCAUUUUAUCUGAGUUUGAACGUUCGUUCACAUGUCAUUUUUCAGACUUCUUGACUCCGUCACUCUCUCCGCUCACAGAGAGAGAGAGAGAGAGAGCCCAAACAGCAAUUUUAGUGGCAGCCUCCAUCAACCCUUUUGCAGAGCUCAAACAUCUCUCUAAGGUCGUCCUUUUCAUCUUGGCCAUCGAACAUUUUCAAACUUCAAUAACAGUUGGACAAGUAUAUCAUCCUUUUCGGACUUUGUCAGGCCAAAUCUGAUAGCUUCUCUUAUGUUGUGGUCCUUUAACCUGAUCUGAUCGCGUCCAUCUUUUGCUGGAGAAAUUUGUGGAGAGGAAGGAACAAAAGCAGCAGGAAACCAUUCUCGAGUUAUUCUGUACUAGCUCCACCCUGCUCAGCAGAAGACAGGAGAUAUAAAGACGUAUUCAUUCUUCAGCAGAAUGUCCAGCAAGUAUCACAUGGAAUUAGAAUCUUCUCGGUCGUUCAAGUCCAAGUCUAGCUCCCCAACAGAAGUUCGGCUCAUAAUUGGCAAUGUCCCUUUCACUUUGCACAGAGAACUUCUUUCAGCGAGAUCAGCAAAGCUUGCUUCUUUAUUCGAGGAGAAUAAGGUCUCUUAUGUCCUUCGGGACAUUCCAGCUGACCCAGAAACCUUUGAGCUCGUGGCGAGAUUUUGUCAUGGGUUCGAUCCUCAGCUUUCCGCUGAAAAUAUCCUGCCCCUCAUUUGCCUUGCUUCCCAUCUGGGAAUGACCGAGGAUCACUGCAACAACAACUUACUUAGGGAGGCCCUUGAUUUCUUUGAAAAUAAAACCCUCCCGAGCUGGAAUGAGACCAUCAGAGCCCUGCUACUAUCAGACAGAGUCAUCCCCCCCGCUGCUAGCCUCGGGCUGAUAGAUGCUUGCCUGGAGUCGAUCACUGCAAAGGCGAUAAUGGACCCUCGACUUCUUGGGAAGCCAAUCAAGAACUUGAGAUCAGAUGGCUGCAGUGAGGAGGUGGAUGAGGAAGACGAGUGUAAACCGAAUGCAAGGAGAAAGCUCUUUGUUCACGAUUGGCAGUCUGAGGAUUUGACGACCCUGCCUGUGCAUUUUUAUGAGCCCAUCAUUGAGGCCAUGAAACUUCAUGGAGUUCCUCUGGACUAUGUGGCUGCUUCUCUCUGUGAAUAUGCGAGGAGGUGGGUUUUCAAUGGCUUUUCUGAAGGGGAAGAAACUAAAUUUUCAGUUUAUAAGAAGAAUUCUCCUCGAGAAGCUAUUGAAGUGAUAGAGAGACUCCUGCCUGAAGAAAGGGGUCUAAUCCAGUGCCCUCUAUUGUUUGAAAUGCUAAGGUAUUCAAUUUCCCUAGAAGCAAGCUCCAACUGUAGGGAUGGUUUGGAGGUCAGGAUCGCUCAACAGCUCGAUCAGGCAACAGUCAAAGACCUCCGCAUACCAUUUAAAGGCUAUGCUAAGGGAGCAAAGUACGAUAUUGGGUGUGUGAAGAGGAUACUGAAGAACUUCUACGGCAGAGUUACAGGUUCAGGCGCGCUGGGAAUCACGAGAGUGGCAGAUCUCAUAGAAGAUUUCCUCGCUGAGGUGGCAGCUGAUGUAGAUUUGGAGAUGAACACCUUUGUAUCCUUAGCAGAGAUGUCCGUUGCAGCUUCUUUGGGUAGUGAUCGGAGCUCUGAUGGAAUCUACAAAGCUAUUGAUAUUUACCUGGACAAGCACAGAUACCUGACAGAAUCGGAGAGAGAAGAGGUUUGUCGGGUUUUGGACUGUCAGAAGAUGUCACAGGAAGCAUGCGAGCAUGCCGCACAGAACGAGAGACUGCCUCUGAGAGUUGUGGUUCAGGUUCUGUUCAUCGAGCAGCUGAAGCUGCGAGAUGCAGUCACCAAGGAGGUCUCUAGCGGGAUAGAGAACCGUUCAAGAAAUGAGAGUGAAGAAGAGGAAGGCGAUGGGAUAGUGACCUGCAGAGAGGAAGAGCUGAGGGGCGAGAUGAUGAGGAUGAACAACAAGGUGGUGGAGCUUGAGAGGGAGUGCGGAAUCAUGAGGAAGGAGAUUGAGAAUAACGGGAAUCGAAGAGGUGCCACGAAGAAGCACAAAUUAAGCGUGUGGGGCGAGAUCAAGAGGAAGUUCGGGUGCAUCAGCAGCGCGCAUGACUACAAAUGCCAAGUGCAGAAGAAGAAAAAGGACACACGGUGAAAGAAUUUCCAUCACAUUCGAUUUUCUUGUUCUAGUUAUUCAGCUUCAACACCACACAUUAAAACGAUGAUAUGUUUCGGCUCGUUCUCUUUUCGGGUGAAAAAUGCCAGCACAUCAGAAACAGGAAUCCGGUUUUCGAAUUUGAAAUGUAUCUUGCAAUGAUUCGAUUACAAGACGGAGAGCUCUGCAUCGUUCAAUGCGCUUGGUCCAUUGUUGUUGUGUUCUCGUCCUGCUCCUCCUCCGCCCCCUGUUGACCCGUCUCCUCCUGACAACCUGUUCU
Non-coding RNA from Punica granatum (pomegranate), 2513 nucleotides. The record is from RefSeq and is a predicted model, not a curated record. NCBI's taxonomy places the organism in Eukaryota, Viridiplantae, Streptophyta, Magnoliopsida, Myrtales, Lythraceae.